CGGAGGGCAGCAGGCGCGCAAAUUGCCCAAUGUCAAAAAAAAACGAUGAGGCAGCGAAAAGAAAUAGAGCCGGCAGUGCCACUGGCAUUGCCGUUUUCAAUGGGGGAUAUUUAAACCCAUCCAAAAUCGAGUAUCAAUUGGAGGACAAGUCUGGUGCCAGCACCCGCGGUAAUUCCAGCUCCAAAAGCGUAUAU
Molecule: ribosomal RNA, 194 nt
Filed under: Trypanosoma vegrandis
Lineage: Eukaryota; Euglenozoa; Kinetoplastea; Trypanosomatida; Trypanosomatidae
Description: partial small subunit ribosomal RNA
Rfam family: Eukaryotic small subunit ribosomal RNA
Source: RNAcentral